Molecule: long non-coding RNA, 493 nt
Organism: Vicia villosa (hairy vetch)
Lineage: Eukaryota; Viridiplantae; Streptophyta; Magnoliopsida; Fabales; Fabaceae
Exons: 3
Source: RefSeq, a predicted model, not a curated record
GCUAAAUGGAAUCUGAAAAGCGAAGAGUUGGAUGCGAAAAAAAAAGCGAUUUGGGACGAGCUUCAGAGGACUUUUGAGAUACCAGAUGAUCGUAGACGCUACAUACUUAGUUUGGCCGGCAAAAGAUAUAGAGGGUGGAAAGCUUUUUUGACAAACACCUAUCUUAAGGAUAAAGAUGGAAACUUUCUUGAAGAGGCACCGGGACGGCCAAAAAAGUAUGAGAUCUUCAUUGAUGAAAAAGAUUGGGCUGAGUUUGUAAAGCAAAGAGAUGAAGAUUUUCGGAAAAGGAGUGCCACGAAUAGUGCGAGAGCAUCCAAACCCGCGUAUCCAUACAAAAAAGGGCGUUUGGGAUAUGCACGCUUAGAGGAUAAAAUUUUAGAGGAGACUAAAAGUGAGGAAACUUCACUUCCUGUACAUGUGUUGUGGAAGGAAGCUCGUGUGGGCAAGAAUCAAGCUGUCGAUCCCGAUGUUCAGAGAGUUUAUACUGAAUGUG